This 407-nucleotide ribosomal RNA is filed under the name uncultured bacterium. Its description in RNAcentral is "partial 16S ribosomal RNA". It matches the Rfam family "Bacterial small subunit ribosomal RNA", at positions 28 to 526 of the family's 1533-position model. The record is from RNAcentral.
GACGAACGCUGGCGGCGUGCCUAAUACAUGCAAGUAGGACGCAGUUGCGAACGGCUGAGUAACGCGUAGGUAACUACCUAUUAGAGGGGGCUAACUAUUGGAAACGAUAGCUAAUACCGCAUACCAGUAAAUGGACCUGCUUUGGAUUAGCGAGUAGGUAGGGUAAAGGCCUACCAAGGCAACGAUACAUAGCCGACCUGAGAGGGGGAUCGGCGAGAAUGGGACUGAGACACCGCCCAGACUGCGACGGGAGGCAGCAGGAGGGAAUCUUCGGCAAUGGGAGGAACGCUGACCGAGCAACGCCGGGUGAGUGAAGAAGGUUUUCGGAUCGGAAAGCUCUGUUGUUAAGGAAGCGGUACUUAACCAGAAAGGGACGGCUAACUACGUGCCAGCAGCCGCGGUAAUAC